UAGUCCACGCCGUAAACGAUGAAUACUAGGUGUUGCGGGUAUUGACCCCUGCAGUGCCGAAGCUAACGCGUUAAGUAUUCCGCCUGGGAAGUACGGUCGCAAGAUUAAAACUCAAAGGAAUUGACGGGGGCCCGCACAAGCGGUGGAGCGUGUGGUUUAAUUCGAUGCAACGCGAAAAACCUUACCUGGAUUUGACAUCCUCGGACCGCCCUAGAGAUAGGGUUUUCUCUUCGGAGACCGAGUGACAGGUGCUGCAUGGCUGUCGUCAGCUCGUAUCGUGAGAUGUCGGGUUAAGUCCCUUAACGAGCGCAACCCCUAUCACUAGUUGCUACCAUUUAGUUGGGCACUCUAUUGAGACUGCCGGUGUUAAACCGGAGGAAGGUGGGGAUGACGUCAAGUCCUCAUGGCCCUUAUGUCCAGGGCUACACACGUGCUACAAUGGCCGGUACAGAGGGUCGCCAACCCGCGAGGGGGAGCUAAUCUCAGAAAACCGGUCUCAGUCCGGAUUGGAGUCUGCAAUUCGACUCC
Molecule: ribosomal RNA, 528 nt
Filed under: uncultured bacterium
Lineage: Bacteria
Description: bacterial SSU rRNA
Rfam family: Bacterial small subunit ribosomal RNA
Source: RNAcentral